This 252-nucleotide ribosomal RNA is filed under the name uncultured bacterium. RNAcentral describes it as "partial 16S ribosomal RNA". It matches the Rfam family "Bacterial small subunit ribosomal RNA", at positions 524 to 776 of the family's 1533-position model. The record is from RNAcentral.
UACGUAGGGGGCUAGCGUUAUCCGGAAUUACUGGGCGUAAAGGGUGCGUAGGUGGUUUCUUAAGUCAGAGGUGAAAGGCUACGGCUCAACCGUAGUAAGCCUUUGAAACUGGGAAACUUGAGUGCAGGAGAGGAGGGUGGAAUUCCUAGUGUAGCGGUGAAAUGCGUAGAUAUUAGGAGGAACACCAGUUGCGAAGGCGGCUCUCUGGACUGUAACUGACACUGAGGCACGAAAGCGUGGGGAGCAAACAGG